GACGAACGCUGGCGGCGUGCUUAACACAUGCAAGUCGAACGGAAAGGCCCCCUUGUGGGGUACUCGAGUGGCGAACGGGUGAGUAACACGUGAGUAACCUACCCUUGACUUUGGGAUAACUUCAGGAAACUGGGGCUAAUACCGGCUAGGAGCUCCUGCUGCAUGGUGGGGGUUGGAAAGUUUCGGCGGUUGGGGAUGGACUCGCGGCUUAUCAGCUUGUUGGUGGGGUAGUGGCUCACCAAGGCUUUGACGGGUAGCCGGCCUGAGAGGGUGACCGGCCACAGUGGGACUGAGAUACGGCCCAGACUCCUACGGGAGGCAGCAGUGGGGAAUAUUGCACAAUGGGCGGAAGCCUGAUGCAGCAACGCCGCGUGCGGGAUGACGGCCUUCGGGUUGUAAACCGCUUUCGCCUGUGACGAAGCGUGAGUGACGGUAAUGGGUAAAGAAGCACCGGCUAACUACGUG
This 465-nucleotide ribosomal RNA is filed under the name uncultured bacterium. Its description in RNAcentral is "partial 16S ribosomal RNA". It matches the Rfam family "Bacterial small subunit ribosomal RNA", at positions 28 to 507 of the family's 1533-position model. The record is from RNAcentral.